AUGAAUUCCUUGAAUAUCCAUGAUGCUAAUGAUAUGCAAAGCCACAAGCUUGGGGAAGCUAUGUUUGAUGAAGAUGAUAUUUUUGUCCCCCAAGCUUUGAUGAGCAAAUUUAUUAUGAUGAGAGCAUGCCUCCUAUCUAUGAUGAUUAUUGUGAUGAGUUGUAUGCUAUUAAAAAUAAUGAUAACCAUGAAACUUGUCAUUAUGAUUUUAGUUUUCAAUUGGAUUAUGCCUCACAUGAUAAUUAUUUUGUUGAGUUUGCUCCCACUACUAUUGAUGAGAAUAGAUUUGCUUAUGUGGAGAGUAGUAAAUUUUCUAUGCUUGUAG
Molecule: ribosomal RNA, 324 nt
Filed under: Triticum aestivum (bread wheat)
Lineage: Eukaryota; Viridiplantae; Streptophyta; Magnoliopsida; Poales; Poaceae
Description: partial small subunit ribosomal RNA
Source: RNAcentral